GGGCGUGCUUACACAUGCAAGUCAGGGGCCCAGCAAUGGGCAACCGGCGAACGGGUGCGUAACACGUGAGCAACCUACCGAACUGUGGGGGAUAGCCGGCCUAACGGCCGAGUAAUACCGAUACGCUUUCAGUGAGGCAUUUCAUUGAAAGGAAACCUACGGGACAGAUCGAGGGGCUCGCGGCUAUCAGCUAGUUGGUGAGGUAACGGUCACCAAGGCUAUGACGGGUAGCUGGUCUGAGAGGACGACCAGUCACACUGGAACUGAGACACGGUCCAGAAACCUAAGGGUGGCAGCAGUCCGAGAAUUUUUCUCAAUGGGGGCAACCCUGAAGGAGCGACGCCGCGUGGAGGAUGAAGGCUUUCGGGUUGUAAACUCCUGUCAUUUGGGAACAAGGUGCACACGUUAACUGCGUGGGUAUUGAUAGUACCAGAAGAGGAAGGGACGGCUAACUCUGUGCCAGCAGCCGCGGUAAUACAGAGGUCCCAAGCGUUGUUCGGAUUCAUUGGGCGUAAAGGGUGCGUAGGUGGCGCCGUAAGUCGGGUGUGAAAUUUCGGAGCUUAACUCCGAAACUGCAUUCGAUACUGCGGUGCUUGAGGACUGGAGAGGAGACUGGAAUUCAUGGUGUAGCAGUGAAAUGCGUAGAGAUCAUUCGAGGGAAGAACCAAGGUGGGCCGAAAGGGCCGGGGUCCUCCUGGGGACAGUCCCUUGAACACUGGAGGGCACGAAGGGCCAGGGGGGAGCAAACGGGGGAUUUAAGAAUACCCGGGUAAGUACUGGGCA
RNAcentral lists this ribosomal RNA (783 nucleotides) under uncultured bacterium. RNAcentral's name for it is "bacterial SSU rRNA". It matches the Rfam family "Bacterial small subunit ribosomal RNA", at positions 40 to 801 of the family's 1533-position model. The record is from RNAcentral.